Long non-coding RNA from Canis lupus familiaris (dog), 2239 nucleotides. RefSeq lists it as uncharacterized. The transcript is spliced from 4 exons. Lineage: Eukaryota; Metazoa; Chordata; Mammalia; Carnivora; Canidae. The record is from RefSeq and is a predicted model, not a curated record.
AGAAUGUGAAAAAUGUGGCAUGAAGUAGACCAUGAAAAAGACACUUGUUUACAGAAUAGGAGCUGAAAGAAGGCGGCAGAGCACAACCUUAUUUGACCUAUGCUGGGAACACGCAUGUUCGACGACUCAAAAUUUUUGCCUCUCUGCUUACCUGUGAAUGACCAUGAAAGCGCUACUGGUUUCCUGGCAAACUGCCACCAGGAAAAUCAUCUUCCCAUAGACUGAAGAAUCUCACCAUGUUCCAGUUCCCUAAAUGGAUGGAGCGCCUGGCCCCUGAUGUGCCUGUGAGCAGAGAAGGCAUUCAUCCCCAGGAGGCAGCAGGUUGACCACAAUGCCUUGUCAUCCACCUGAGCUGAUGCCAAACAACUCUUAAGACAUCCCUCACGUUACACCAUCUUGGAGUGCACAUUUGGACUCUAAAUCCUCUUCUGCAUUAGGAUUUACAGUGAAUCUACUGAGUAAAUAGCAGAUGCUGAAGAACUCGAUGAUCUGGGUCUCAAUCAGGCAGUUCUGAGCAGAAGUAUCCUCAAGUGGCCGCUCCUGAGAGUGAAAUCAGACUCCACGGGGGAAAUGGGAGGCAUUUGUGGUUUCGGGCUUUCAAUUAAUAAAGUAAAAGACAGGGACGCCUGAGUGGCUCAGUGGUUGAGUGUCUGCCUUGGCUCAGGUCCUGAUCGCGGGGUCUUGGGAUCGAGUCCUGCGUCGGGCUCCCUGUGAGGAGCCUGCUUCUCCCUCUGCCUGUGUCUCUGCCUCUCUCUGUGUCUCUCAUGAAUAAAUAAAUAAAAUCUUUUUUUUUUUUUAAGUAAAAAGUAAAAGACAAAUACAGAAAAGCAGAAAGAGAAAUUUAAAAUAACCUAGGACCCCUUAACUUACGGGUAAAAUCCUGUGAGCCUUCAAGUCAUUUUCUAUGCAUCUAUUUACACAUAAGCAUAUAUAUUUGAGGGCUUUCCUGCCCCUCUUCUCUGAAGCUUCACUUUCCAUGGUUCCAACUACCUGCCAUAUCCCAAGGCCCAUGUGAUUCACUCCACGGGGGCGUGUUAUUCUCUUACAUCAUCACCAGAGGGGUAAGUGAGCGCCACACUGUAAAAUAUUUUGAGAGAGACCCCGUUCACAUAACUCUUAUUGCACUAUAUUGUUAUACUUCUUUUUUAUUAUCAGUUAUUGUUGUUAAUCUCUUUCCAAUUUAUAAUUAAACGUUAUCACAGGUAUGGAUGUAUAGGAAAAGGUGUAGGAUGUAAACAUUUUAGUACUAUCCAUGGAUUCAGACAUCCAGUGGGGAUCUUGGAAUACCCCCUGUAACUCCUUUUAUUAAACAUUGCAAAAAGCUUUCAGUUGUUUGCCUUCUUACUUUGUUCUGGAUUUUUUUUUUAAUGGAAAGAUUUAUAUACGAAAAGCCUCUGGGCCCCAAGAUCAAAUACUUUUCACCCAUGUUUCCUUCCAGUUCUUUCAUGGAUGAAAUUUUUCAUUUAACUCCCUCUUAUGACUGGAAUUUCUUUUGCUGUGUGAUGUGCAGGAUGGUUUCUUUUGUUUUGUUUUUCUGUUUCUUUCUUUCUUUUUUUUUUUUUGCAGGAUGAUUUUUGAUGGUGUUUGCAUUUGUUGAAUUGUCUUUUCUGUUUUAAAUUCAUUUGUCUCUCCUCAUACCAUUACCAUAGUGAUUCAACUAUUGUAACUUCAUCAUAUAACUUCAGAUGUGAGGGCAAGACUUCCUUCUUUUUCACUAUUGCUUCAGAAUUUGCUUAGCUAUUUGUGCCAGUUUAGUUUUUUACUUUUUUUUUUUUUGAUAAAUCUUAGAAUUAUUUUGUCAAAUUACCUUUGGAAAAUGUUCCCGUUCGAGAGUGUAACAUUUCUCUCCAUUUACUUAAAUAGCCUUUUAUAUUUUUCCUUGAUAUUUUGUCAUUUUCCUCAUCUGAGUCUUGACACAGGUAGUCUGUGGGAAAAAAUCAAUUUAGUGUUUAAAAAAAAUCAACUUUGGAUGAAAACAAAACACACUGAUAAUUUCCUGUUCAGCAGGCCACUCAUACAUUUUGAGAUAUUCUGAGCACUUGUAGAAGAAUUAUUUUUUAACAUCUGAUUAAUAUCAACUCAGAAGUUUUAAAAGAUUUUUCCCUUUGUAAAAUAUGUUCAAUAAGAUCAGCUACUUAAAGCAUUCCAUAAUUUUUUUAUGAUUUAUUUAUUUGUGUGAGAGAAAGAGCAGUGGGGAGGGACAGAGGGAGAGAAAAAAGCAGACUUCCCACUGAGCAGG